AUUGAACGCUGGCGGCAGGCCUAACACAUGCAAGUCGAGCGGAUGAAGGGAGCUUGCUCCUGGAUUCAGCGGCGGACGGGUGAGUAAUGCCUAGGAAUCUGCCUGGUCGUGGGGGAUAACGUCCGGAAACGGGCGCUAAUACCGCAUACGUCCUGAGGGUGAAAGUGGGGGAUCUUCGGACCUCAUGCUAUCAGAUGAGCCUAGGUCGGAUUAGCUAGUUGGUGGGGUAAAGGCCUACCAAGGCGACGAUCCGUAACUGGUCUGAGAGGAUGAUCAGUCACACUGGAACUGAGACACGGUCCAGACUCCUACGGGAGGCAGCAGUGGGGAAUAUUGGACAAUGGGCGAAAGCCUGAUCCAGCCAUGCCGCGUGUGUGAAGAAGGUCUUCGGAUUGUAAAGCACUUUAAGUUGGGAGGAAGGGCAGUAAGUUAAUACCUUGCUGUUUUGACGCUACCAACAGAAUAAGCACCGGCUAACUUCGUG
Molecule: ribosomal RNA, 484 nt
Filed under: uncultured bacterium
Lineage: Bacteria
Description: partial 16S ribosomal RNA
Rfam family: Bacterial small subunit ribosomal RNA
Source: RNAcentral